Molecule: transfer RNA, 89 nt
Organism: Candidatus Profftella armatura
Lineage: Bacteria; Pseudomonadati; Pseudomonadota; Betaproteobacteria
Rfam family: tRNA
About the family: Transfer RNA (tRNA) molecules are approximately 80 nucleotides in length. Their secondary structure includes four short double-helical elements and three loops (D, anti-codon, and T loops). Further hydrogen bonds mediate the characteristic L-shaped molecular structure. tRNAs have two regions of fundamental functional importance: the anti-codon, which is responsible for specific mRNA codon recognition, and the 3' end, to which the tRNAs corresponding amino acid is attached (by aminoacyl-tRNA synthetases). tRNAs cope with the degeneracy of the genetic code in two manners: having more than one tRNA (with a specific anti-codon) for a particular amino acid; and 'wobble' base-pairing, i.e. permitting non-standard base-pairing at the 3rd anti-codon position.
Source: Rfam
GGAGAUGUGGCCGAGUGGCUAAAGGCACUUCCCUGCUAAGGAAGCAUACGAGUUUUAUUGUAUCGUGGGUUCGAAUCCCACCAUCUCCA